This 253-nucleotide ribosomal RNA is filed under the name uncultured bacterium. RNAcentral describes it as "partial 16S ribosomal RNA". It matches the Rfam family "Bacterial small subunit ribosomal RNA", at positions 524 to 776 of the family's 1533-position model. The record is from RNAcentral.
UACGUAGGGUGCAAGCGUUGUCCGGAAUUAUUGGGCGUAAAGAGCUCGUAGGCGGUUUGUCGCGUCGGGAGUGAAAACACCGGGCUUAACUCGGUGCUUGCUUUCGAUACGGGCAGACUAGAGGUAUGCAGGGGAGAACGGAAUUCCUGGUGUAGCGGUGAAAUGCGCAGAUAUCAGGAGGAACACCGGUGGCGAAGGCGGUUCUCUGGGCAUUACCUGACGCUGAGGAGCAAAAGUGUGGGGAGCGAACAGG